Molecule: unclassified non-coding RNA, 223 nt
Filed under: Hevea brasiliensis (rubber tree)
Lineage: Eukaryota; Viridiplantae; Streptophyta; Magnoliopsida; Malpighiales; Euphorbiaceae
Source: RNAcentral
GGAAUGGGAACCCUCUUAUAAAGAGAAAGUGAUAGCAACUCGUGGAAAACCCCCACAUUCCUCUUCUCCAUCUCUCGUGAAGACUGUUCCAAAUGCGAUACAUCAUCAUAUGGUGAUACAUAAGGUAGCUCCAUCCAAUCUCGAAUCCACUCUCUCACUUCCUUCCUAAUGAAAAAACCUGGAGGAAGCUUCCAGUUAAAUGCUGGCCUAGUUCUGAUUCCUG